CCUGGAUGCUUGAGGCCUUCUAAGCUUGUGUUGUUGCUCCACAGGAGAGCCAAGAGCAAUACUUUAGCACAGCACAAAAUGAAAGUGGAAAGCUUUUCGGCUGAAAUUGUUGGGUGAAUCUUGACAUGUGGAGGAGUUUGUGACCUAUGCAGCUUGGGAAAAGAAGCGUGAUGUGCUGAUACAAGAACCUCUAUCCUUCAUAGAAUAUACAUUCAGUCUUCUGUCCAUACUCAAAGCUGUAAUGGGAAAUACUUGAUGCAAAUAUAUCUGGAGUGCAGCAUAUGCUAUUUCUAUGAAGAGAGCUAUGGAUUCCUACUGGAGAAAUCGUAUUUUUUGUGUUAUAAAACUCAAAUUCUGUCAUAGCUUUGUGGAGAUGGUAAACUUACAAUGUACUGUUUUUUUUUUUUUUUUUUAUAUGAAGCAAUUUAAGUAGGUCUUCUGAGGUACUUCCAUGAUCAUAUAAAACCAGAAUCCAUAGCCACAUUAUGUAUUAUAACAAUUUAAAGAUAUUCAGUAUGGUCAGCAAUAUGUCACUUUCAAGGGCACCACAGGUAGUGGGUUCUGUUCUGGGCUCCCCAAUACAGGAGAAACAUGGAGGACAGAGCAGCAGAAUAAGUUAAAGUGCCCCUAAAAUGACUAAGAGUGGAGCAUCUGACAUAUGAGGAAAGGCAUGAAGGGGUGAGACUUUUCAACCUGGAGGAGAGAAGGUUGAUGUGGAUCUCUACAGUGUAAAUUCCUGAUGGAGCAAUGUAAAGAACAGUCAGACUCAAUGGUGUCCAGACAUGGGACAAGAAGUAAUGGGCACAAACUGCACAGAGAAACUUGAAAGAUUCAUUACUGCAAAUAAAAUAUGUUCAGCAAAAUAUGUAAUUAAUUUUCUACUUUUAGAACUGAAGAAACACUGCUAAUGACAGUGGAUGUUAGAUUACAUGAAAUCUCCGUAAGUUUCCUCAGUUAGAAAGCUGUUGUGCUUUGCAAUGUAUUAUCCAGAUGUGACAUGCUGUGUAUCCAUAUAAUUUGUCUCAUUUUCUGACAUUUGCGUAUUCUCCCAAUUCUAGGUAUAGUAUAGAAUAAAAUAUGAAACCCUACUAUCAUAAAGGAAGAAAAAAGAAGAUUAGUUCAGAGUUAAAGCAGGCAAACUGACAGCAAAAGUUGUUUAACUUUUCAACUCCUAUCUACACAUUCACAGAAAGAAUGGCAUGAAGCUAUUAUUGCCACACUUGUCUGUGUACUAAGUAUGGUACAAAAGAUUUUCAGGAAUAUGUAUAAUUUUCCCUAUGUGCUGAGAUUACUAUAGUGCACAAGCUACUUCAAAUGGAGAGCUUUCUAUUUUUUCUGCAGUUACAGAUUUUCAUAAAAGACUACAAGUAAUUACUUGUAGUGUUAUUACAUGGGCAUAAACAUGAUUUGUAAUACCAUCCAAUACUUAUCUCUCUUAGAAUUAAUCCAUUUAAAACUCUUUAUAAUUCUAUUAUGUCACAAGUAAGAAAUUUUCAGAUCAAAUUUUUCCUUCAAAGUGGUAAUGUGCAGGUAAAUACAAGUUAGGCAAGAAUUAAGAAUAUUUAUUUGUCUAUUGAAGAGUAGUCAGGCAUCUGAGUUAGCUCUGGUCUGCCAUAGAGCUUCAAUAAAAAGGGGACCAGAAGGCAGAUUAAAAGACCACAUGGCUCUAAAUCUUUCUGUGGAGUAUAGGCUUUACUCUUCUGCCCAUUCCACUCUGAUUCCCCAAUAAUAGCUAUAUCAUUUUAUGUUUAAGCUGCUGUACAAAAUUACGGUGACUAUAAAUAACAUCUUACAGAGAAUAUUUUUCCAAGUUUCAUUUUAUAACAGUUAACUUGAAAAAAGAAUCUGGUACUUAUUAAAUCUGGAAACAAACAAACAAACAAAAAAAACCCUUCAGUUUCUGAUACAGUGUUGAUGUAUUUUUUUGGAUGUUGCUUUUGUUGUUGCUGUCUUUCCAAUUCUUCUUUGUUCUAGUUAUUGUAUCACUACAGUUUUGAGAAAUCUGGAUGAGAAUGAAC
Lagopus muta (rock ptarmigan) is the source of this 2018-nucleotide long non-coding RNA. RefSeq lists it as uncharacterized. NCBI's taxonomy places the organism in Eukaryota, Metazoa, Chordata, Aves, Galliformes, Phasianidae. The transcript has 3 exons. The record is from RefSeq and is a predicted model, not a curated record.